AAUAAACGAAUUUCUGUGUUUUUUAUAGAAAUUCUGACUCUUCGUCUUAUUUAAAAUUUUUUUAUGAUUAAUAUUUUUAUUGUUACCACAUGAUAAAAUAUGAAUAGUACUUUACGUAUGACUAAUUUUUUUCAAUUUUUUAAUAAAUUUUUUAAAUAAGACAGAUGGUCAACCACUCGACAUUGAAAACUCAGA
Molecule: microRNA precursor, 195 nt
Filed under: Oryza brachyantha (malo sina)
Lineage: Eukaryota; Viridiplantae; Streptophyta; Magnoliopsida; Poales; Poaceae
Description: MIR812 microRNA precursor family
Rfam family: MIR812 microRNA precursor family
Source: Rfam by way of RNAcentral